AGUGAACGCUGGCGGUAGGCCUAACACAUGCAAGUCGAACGGCAGCACAGGAGAGCUCGCUCUCUGGGUGGCGAGUGGCGGACGGGUGAGGAAUACAUCGGAAUCUACUCUGUCGUGGGGGAUAACGUAGGGAAACUUACGCUAAUACCGCAUACGACCUACGGGUGAAAGCAGGGGACCUUCGGGCCUUGCGCGAUUGAAUGAGCCGAUGUCGGAUUAGCUAGUUGGCGGGGUAAAGGCCCACCAAGGCGACGAUCCGUAGCUGGUCUGAGAGGAUGAUCAGCCACACUGGAACUGAGACACGGUCCAGACUCCUACGGGAGGCAGCAGUGGGGAACAUUGGACAAUGGGCGCAAGCCUGGUCCAGCCAUACCGCGUGGGUGAAGAAGGCCUUCGGGUUGUAAAGCCCUUUUGUUGGGAAAGAAAUCCAGCUGGCUAAUACCCGGUUGGGAUGACGGUACCCAAAGAAUAAGCACCGGCUAACUUCGUGCCAGCCGCCGCCGUAA
This 506-nucleotide ribosomal RNA is filed under the name uncultured bacterium. RNAcentral describes it as "partial 16S ribosomal RNA". It matches the Rfam family "Bacterial small subunit ribosomal RNA", at positions 29 to 523 of the family's 1533-position model. The record is from RNAcentral.